CAAGUCGAGGGGUAUAGUUCUUCGGAAUUAGAGACCGGCGCACGGGUGCGUAACGCGUAUGCAAUCUACCUUUUACAGAGGGAUAGCCCAGAGAAAUUUGGAUUAAUACCUCAUAGCAUUGCAGAAUGGCAUCAUUCAGCAAUUAAAGUCACAACGGUAAAAGAUGAGCAUGCGUCCCAUUAGCUAGUUGGUAAGGUAACGGCUUACCAAGGCUACGAUGGGUAGGGGUCCUGAGAGGGAGAUCCCCCACACUGGUACUGAGACACGGACCAGACUCCUACGGGAGGCAGCAGUGAGGAAUAUUGGACAAUGGGCGCAAGCCUGAUCCAGCCAUGCCGCGUGCAGGAUGACGGUCCUAUGGAUUGUAAACUGCUUUUAUACAGGAAGAAACCCUGGUUCGUGAACCAGCUUGACGGUACUGUAAGAAUAAGGAUCGGCUAACUCCGUGCCAGCAGCCGCGGUAAUACGGAGGAUCCAAGCGUUAUCCGGAAUCAUUGGGUUUAAAGGGUCCGUAGGCGGUUUAAUAAGUCAGUGGUGAAAGCCCAUCGCUCAACGGUGGAACGGCCAUUGAUACUGUUAAACUUGAAUUAUUAGGAAGUAACUAGAAUAUGUAGUGUAGCGGUGAAAUGCUUAGAGAUUACAUGGAAUACCAAUUGCGAAGGCAGGUUACUACUAAUAUAUUGACGCUGAUGGACGAAAGCGUGGGUAGCGAACAGGAUUAGAUACCCUGGUAGUCCACGCCGUAAACGAUGGAUACUAGCUGUUGGGAGCAAUCUCAGUGGCUAAGCGAAAGUGAUAAGUAUCCCACCUGGGGAGUACGUUCGCAAGAAUGAAACUCAAAGGAAUUGACGGGGGCCCGCACAAGCGGUGGAGCAUGUGGUUUAUUCGAUGAUACGCGAGGAACCUUACCAAGGCUUAAAUGUAGUUUGACCGAUUUGGAAACAGAUUUUUCGCAAGACAAAUUACAAGGUGCUGCAUGGUUGUCGUCAGCUCGGUGCCGUGAGGUGUCAGGUUAAGUCCUAU
RNAcentral lists this ribosomal RNA (1023 nucleotides) under Flavobacterium sp. UA-JF1515. RNAcentral's name for it is "bacterial SSU rRNA". It matches the Rfam family "Bacterial small subunit ribosomal RNA", at positions 58 to 1090 of the family's 1533-position model. Lineage: Bacteria; Pseudomonadati; Bacteroidota; Flavobacteriia; Flavobacteriales; Flavobacteriaceae. The record is from RNAcentral.